RNAcentral lists this transfer RNA (67 nucleotides) under Mus musculus (house mouse). It matches the Rfam family "tRNA". From Rfam's summary of the family: Transfer RNA (tRNA) molecules are approximately 80 nucleotides in length. Their secondary structure includes four short double-helical elements and three loops (D, anti-codon, and T loops). Further hydrogen bonds mediate the characteristic L-shaped molecular structure. tRNAs have two regions of fundamental functional importance: the anti-codon, which is responsible for specific mRNA codon recognition, and the 3' end, to which the tRNAs corresponding amino acid is attached (by aminoacyl-tRNA synthetases). tRNAs cope with the degeneracy of the genetic code in two manners: having more than one tRNA (with a specific anti-codon) for a particular amino acid; and 'wobble' base-pairing, i.e. permitting non-standard base-pairing at the 3rd anti-codon position. The record is from Rfam by way of RNAcentral. Lineage: Eukaryota; Metazoa; Chordata; Mammalia; Rodentia; Muridae.
GGGGAUUUAGCUCAGUGGUAGAGCGUGCCUAGCAAGCACAAGGCCCUGGGUUCUAUCCUCAGCUCCA